AACGAACGUUGGCGGCGUGGAUUAGGCAUGCAAGUCGUACGCGAAAGAGGGGGCAACUCCUCGAGUAAAGUGGCGAACGGGUGAGUAACGCGUAGGAAACCUGCCUUCGAGAUGGGGAUAACACUCCUAACGGGGUGCUAAUACCGAAUGACACUGCGGGAUCGCAUGGUUCUGCAGUCAAAGGUGGCCUCUGCUUGCAAGCUACCACUCAAAGAUGGUCCUG
RNAcentral lists this ribosomal RNA (223 nucleotides) under uncultured bacterium. Its description in RNAcentral is "partial 16S ribosomal RNA". It matches the Rfam family "Bacterial small subunit ribosomal RNA", at positions 29 to 233 of the family's 1533-position model. The record is from RNAcentral.